Musa acuminata AAA Group (dessert banana) is the source of this 845-nucleotide long non-coding RNA. RefSeq lists it as uncharacterized. The record is from RefSeq and is a predicted model, not a curated record. NCBI's taxonomy places the organism in Eukaryota, Viridiplantae, Streptophyta, Magnoliopsida, Zingiberales, Musaceae. The transcript is spliced from 2 exons.
UCCGCAGGUUAACUAUAAAAUGGCACCACCGCAACAAGACCCAAUCCAAGCACCGUCUUCCCGGAGCAAACCCCUAACUUUUCAUGGCCAAGACCAAUGGAGAGCCUUGUUCCCGAACCCUAGAACCAGAAUGAAGCGCAAGCGUGAUCUCGAACCCCUCGUGGAAGGGGAGGGCGAGCGAGAGCAGAAGCAUCAAAAGCUGGAGAUGGCCUCUGUUCUUCACCUCCUCCUACCCGCUGUCGAUGAAGGGACGGGAGCUCUCACCUCUGUGGACAAGGGAAAAGGGAUAGUGGUGGAGGAGGAAGAGGGGGAUAAGGAGGCCGAUGAUGAGGACAGCGACGACGGUAGCGAUGUGGGUAGUGAAGACGAGAGUGGCGGGGAGGGAGAUGAUGACAGCGAUUUCGUUGAUGAUCCGUUGGUGGAGGUCGAUCCGGAGAACAUCCUUCCUUCAAGUACGCAGCGGCGGGAACCUCCACCGCCGGGGGUUUAUGUCGACCCUGAUCAGGAUGAGGAUGACAGCAGGGACAGCGAGUAAGAUGAUGCGAGGCUAAAAGGAGGAAUGUAGAAGUUGGCAGAGGACCUUGCGUGAUUGCGGUUGCAUUCCUCGGAGAUGUUUGCAACUCAGCAUUAUACGGUGAAUUAUUUGAUGAGAUAUAUCCUUCUCCCUGGUUCCAUAUGGAUCAGAUUAAGGCACCAGAGUGGCAUAGAUCAUUUCGGGCCUGGUGAGUUUAUCAUUUUGAUUUCUUUUCUAUCGAGUUGCUAGAGUUUGUGUUCAGUUUCUUUUAUUCUUCCACGUAAAUGAACAGUGACAUGGAUACGAGACCGAUAGAUCUCUCUUUCCACUU